AGAGUUUGAUCCUGGCUCAGAAUGAACGCUGGCGUGCUUAACACAUGCAAGUUGAACGGUAACAGGAGGAAGCUUGCUUUCUUGCUGACGAGUGGCGCACGGGUGAGCAAUGCAUAGGUAACGUGCCCCUUAGUCUGGGAUAGCCACUGGAAACGGUGAUUAAUACUAGAUACGCCUUCUCUCUUGAUGAGAGUUGGGAAAGUUUUUCGCUAAGGGAUCGGCCUAUGUUGUAUCAGGUAGUUGGUGAGGUAAUGGCUCACCAAGCCUAUGACACAUAGCGGGUCUGAGAGGAUGAUCCGCCACACUGGUACUGAGACACGGACCAGACUCCUACGGGAGGCAGCAGUGGGGAAUAUUGCACAAUGGACGAAAGUCUGAUGCAGCAACGCCGCGUGGAGGAUGACACAUUUCGGUGCGUAAACUCCUUUUAUAUGAGAAGAUAAUGACGGUAUCAUAUGAAUAAGCACCGGCUAACUCCGUGCCAGCAGCCGCGGUAAUACGGAGGGUGCAAGCGUUAUUCGGAAUCACUGGGCGUAAAGGGUGCGUAGGCGGUUUGGAAAGUCAGAUGUGAAAGCCUACAGCUUAACUGUAGAACUGCAUUUGAAACUUCCAGACUAGAAUACUGAAGGGGCAGAUGGAAUUAGUGGUGUAGGGGUAAAAUCCGUAGAUAUCACUAGGAAUACCGAAAGCGAAAGCGAUCUGCUGGGAAGUUAUUGACGCUGAGGCACGAAAGCGUGGGGAGCAAACGGGAUUAGAUACCCCGGUAGUCCACGCCCUAAACGAUGAAUGCUAGUCGUCGGAGAGCUCGUCCUUUCGGUGAUGCAGUUAACACAUUAAGCAUUCCGCCUGGGGAGUACGGUCGCAAGAUUAAAACUCAAAGGAAUAGACGGGGACCCGCACAAGUGGUGGAGCAUGUGGUUUAAUUCGGAAAUACGCGAAGAACCUUACCUAGCCUUGACAUUGAUAGAAUCUGGUAGAGAUACCGGAGUGCCUGCUUGCAGGAACUUGAAAACAGGUGCUGCACGGCUGUCGUCAGCUCGUGUCGUGAGAUGUUGGGUUAAGUCCCGCAACGAGCGCAACCCUCGUCGUUAGUUGCUAACAGUUCGGCUGAGCACUCUAGCGAGACUGCCUUCGCAAGGAGGAGGAAGGUGAGGACGACGUCAAGUCAUCAUGGCCCUUAUGGCUAGGGCUACACACGUGCUACAAUGGGGCGUACAGAGAGUUGCGAUACCGCGAGGUGGAGCUAUCUCACAAAGCGUCUCUCAGUUCGGAUUGUUCUCUGCAACUCGAGAACAUGAAGCUGGAAUCACUAGUAAUCGUAGAUCAGCAAUGCUACGGUGAAUACGUUCCCGGGUCUUGUACUCACCGCCCGUCACACCAUGGGAGUUGAUUUCACCCGAAAUCGGGAAGCGAACCUUCGGGACGCUACCGCUUACGGUGGAAUUAGCGACUGGGGUGAAGUCGAAACAAGGUA
Molecule: ribosomal RNA, 1474 nt
Filed under: metagenome
Description: bacterial SSU rRNA
Rfam family: Bacterial small subunit ribosomal RNA
Source: RNAcentral